UGGGGAAUUUUGGACAAUGGGCGAAAGCCUGAUCCAGCAAUGCCGCGUGUGUGAAGAAGGCCUUCGGGUUGUAAAGCACUUUUGUCCGGAAAGAAAUCCUUGGCUCUAAUACAGUCGGGGGAUGACGGUACCGGAAGAAUAAGCACCGGCUAACUACGUGCCAGCAGCCGCGGUAAUACGUAGGGUGCAAGCGUUAAUCGGAAUUACUGGGCGUAAAGCGUGCGCAGGCGGUUUGCUAAGACCGAUGUGAAAUCCCCGGGCUCAACCUGGGAACUGCAUUGGUGACUGGCAGGCUAGAGUAUGGCAGAGGGGGGUAGAAUUCCACGUGUAGCAGUGAAAUGCGUAGAGAUGUGGAGGAAUACCGAUGGCGAAGGCAGCCCCCUGGGCCAAUACUGACGCUCAUGCACGAAAGCGUGGGGAGCAAACAGGAUUAGAUACCCUGGUAGUCCACGCCCUAAACGAUGUCAGCUAGUUGUUGGGGAUUCAUUUCCUAGUAACGUAGCUAACGCGUGAAGUUGACCGCCUGGGGGAGUACGGUCGCAAGAUUAAAA
This 551-nucleotide ribosomal RNA is filed under the name uncultured bacterium. RNAcentral describes it as "partial 16S ribosomal RNA". It matches the Rfam family "Bacterial small subunit ribosomal RNA", at positions 355 to 899 of the family's 1533-position model. The record is from RNAcentral.